RNAcentral lists this ribosomal RNA (437 nucleotides) under Psectra tillyardi. RNAcentral describes it as "partial 16S ribosomal RNA". Lineage: Eukaryota; Metazoa; Arthropoda; Insecta; Neuroptera; Hemerobiidae. The record is from RNAcentral.
AUUUUAUUAAAAGGCCGCAGUAUAUUGACUGUGCAAAGGUAGCAUAAUCAUUUGUCUCUUAAUUAGAGGCUGGAAUGAAUGGUUGAAUGAAAAAUUAACUGUCUCUUUUUAAAAAAUUAAGAAUUUAAAUUUUAAGUAAAAAUGCUUAAAUAUAUUUAAAAGACGAGAAGCCCCUAUAGAUUUUUAUUUUUAUAUUAUUUAUAUUUAUAAGAAUAUUAAUUAAUUWWUAAUAAUAUAAAAAUUUGAUUGGGGGGAUUAAAAAAUUUAAUUAACUUUUUAUUUAUUUAACCAUUUAUUUAUGAAAAUUUGAUCUUUUUUUAAUGAUUAAAAGAUUAAAUUCCCUUAGGGAUAACAGCGUAAUUUUUUUGAAGAGUUCUUAUCUAUAAAAAAGAUUGCGACCUCGAUGUUGAAUUAAAAGUUAUAUUUAAAUGCAGAAG